UCAAUGGGUUUGAACUGCCGUUUCAAUGAUGACCCGCCCAUUAAUCCCAUUUAUAACUAAUGUAGCCCAGAGUUCAAGAACUGAUUAAGUCGCUGUCUCUCUAUUGGAAGAUACAACCGAGAUUGUCUGUUUCUACAUUUCUACAGUUCCACAAAAUCCAAUGAAACCCAAUGAUGGCAAACGCCAUUUCGGGCAAUAAAGGUGGGCCAAUCGCAUAUAUAGUGCGAUGAAGUCAGCGGAGAUCAGAUGACCGGACCUCCGAGACAGCGGGUUCAUGAUCGUGAUGAUGCUGAUGCUGAAAUGCUUAUGAUUUCGGGGUCUUGAGACAGCGAUGCAAUUAAAACGGAUUAAAACGGAUCGUUGGGAAGGGGAGGGGGUUGGGGGCAAAAGAGAGAGGUUCGCUUUCACUGGCCAGCGAGCGAAAUGGUGAUCGAUCGAACUGGAUCGGAUAUGUGUAUCUUGGGCCCCUUGGGCAGAUGCUAACUGUGCGAUAAGGUCAGCGCUCAAUUAUCGACGCGUUAAGUAAACCAAAGCCAAAGCACCGUGUGGAAAGUGGAAAAUGCGUACAGUGAUCACUCACUAUCUCACGAUCCGUCAGUGGAGCGCAGUGAUAAAUGGAACUAGCUAAACCAACCAACCAACCAACGAUCGUGGCAGAUAAAUGGCCACAGUAUCUUUAUCUCCACUUUGCUUUGUUUCGCUUCUCUACUCUUCUUGUCGUAUUUCUCGAAAAUGUCAACAGUUCUCGGCUGAGUGAUAUGUGAUAUACGAUCUAUGGGACCAUGGAGUCGCAGUCUUUUUUUUUUUUUUUUUAGCGAUAAGGGGUCGAUCAAUA
Molecule: long non-coding RNA, 835 nt
Organism: Drosophila santomea
Lineage: Eukaryota; Metazoa; Arthropoda; Insecta; Diptera; Drosophilidae
Exons: 3
Source: RefSeq, a predicted model, not a curated record